GGUCGCGAGGAGGCCAGACGCAGCACUGCAGAAGAGGACACGUGGGCUGGCAUCUCCAUGGCUGUCUUCGCUCUUCCUCGUCUCUCUCCUGCUGGUCUCUGGCUCCAGCACUCCUCUCCCAGUGCCUCAGCGCUCUCAGCCCUCCCCUGCACUUGGGCACAGCCCCGGAAACUCCCUUCUACAGGAACCUGAGCUCGGCUCUCCUCCUGCAGUGACUGAACAGGUGCCCUGCCUUUCACUUGGCCUGGGAUGAGCCUCGACAUGCUGGCCCCUGGGAGCAGGGACUCAUCUGCAUGCACAGGCCGAGGGCACCAGGUAUAAGCCUCCCACUUGGCUCUACUCAACAGCUUCAGACCAGAGGCAGUGACAACCCAGAGAUCUGCCCUCAGACUGGGGCCAGAGCUGGCUCAAGAGAAGGGGCUGCUAUCCAGCUCCCAUGGAUACUCACAGGCCCAGCUUCCUGAAGGAAGGAUCAACACCCAACUCCAGAGAGCGGCAGGAGAGGCAGGGGGCCGGACCAGGAACCCCUCCUCUGCCUUGAAAGGAAGCCAGGCCAAGACUCCCUGACUUGAAUGGUGCCCUCUCUCUGUUCUCUGCAUGUGGCCGGAGGAGGCUGAACUGACAGCUGGCUCCUACCUGGAGGCUGAGAUUCUCCCCUGAGCUGAAGAGACAGUGAAGGGUAUCUAGGGAUACCCCACCCCACUUACAUGUAAGCCUUGUAGUUGUUGCCUAUCUUCUGGACCCGGAUGUCAUACUUGGCA
Phacochoerus africanus (Common warthog) is the source of this 761-nucleotide long non-coding RNA. RefSeq lists it as uncharacterized. The record is from RefSeq and is a predicted model, not a curated record. Lineage: Eukaryota; Metazoa; Chordata; Mammalia; Artiodactyla; Suidae. The transcript has 3 exons.